CUUGAGAGUUAUAUAGGAUAUGGCAUAUUGUUUAGCUCCUGUAGUAGGGAAGACAACAAUAUGGAUGGGAAGUGUGACAUUCAGGUCUUAUAAUCUUUUGCCUCCCUGUGCUCCCUUCUGGUGGCUGCAAAGUUUUGGAUGGGUGGCACUGUCUCUGGUUGUUGCUACACCAAAGCCUGGAGUCACCAAAAGGAUGCUGACUCCGUAGCUGAUGAUCAACAGGCAGCCCUGGAGGUCACACAGUGAUUUAAUGUGUAAACAUGAGCUUUCAUGGAAUCGGUGUCAGGGCUUGAACCUUUCCUAAGACAUUUUUAUUCCUUGUUUGUCAAUAGAGAAGCAGCAAAA
This 345-nucleotide long non-coding RNA is filed under the name Anser brachyrhynchus (Pink-footed goose). RNAcentral's name for it is "lncRNA (ENSABRG00000020403.1)". Lineage: Eukaryota; Metazoa; Chordata; Aves; Anseriformes; Anatidae. The record is from RNAcentral.